RNAcentral lists this ribosomal RNA (301 nucleotides) under uncultured bacterium. RNAcentral describes it as "partial 16S ribosomal RNA". It matches the Rfam family "Bacterial small subunit ribosomal RNA", at positions 509 to 807 of the family's 1533-position model. The record is from RNAcentral.
CAGCCGCCGCGGGAAUACGGAGGGUGCAAGCGUUAAUCGGAAUUACUGGGCGUAAAGCGCACGCAGGCGGUCUGACAAGUCAGAUGUGAAAUCCCCGGGCUUAACCUGGGAACUGCAUUUGAAACUGUCAGGCUGGAGUCUUGUAGAGGGGGGUGGAAUUCCAGGUGUAGCGGUGAAAUGCGUAGAGAUCUGGAGGAAUACCGGUGGCGAAGGCGGCCCCCUGGACAAAGACUGACGCUCAGGUGCGAAAGCGUGGGGAGCAAACAGGAUUAGAUACCCCUGUAGUUCCUGUCUCUUAUAC